Molecule: non-coding RNA, 948 nt
Filed under: Magallana hongkongensis (Hong Kong oyster)
Lineage: Eukaryota; Metazoa; Mollusca; Bivalvia; Ostreida; Ostreidae
Description: 12S ribosomal RNA
Rfam family: Microsporidia small subunit ribosomal RNA (bases 179-947)
Source: RNAcentral
UAAAGAAAAUAUUUGGUUCUGGUAUAAUGUUAGCUACAGAGUUUUUUACAUUACACAAUGUAGGAUAAUUUCGUGAUGUGUGAAAGUCUGAUUUACGUGAUAAGCCGAAACUUAAAGUAUCCUAAAAGGAGAAAUUGGCAGCAGGAGCAUAAGUUUUUAAUGAUGACGCGAAGGAAAUCACAACUCAAGUGGGUAGAUCUGGAAAUCAAUGAGUUCUAGCUUGAAACGAAUAAAAAACUAACUAAAUUGAAGCGAAAGAGGGUGCCAGCAGCUGCGGUCACUCCCUCUCUCGAGGAGCUAAUAAGGGUGCAGCUUAGAGGCAGUUAGUCAAAAUGCAUAACGCAAGACAUACAGCAGGGACUAUGGGUGAAAUCUCAGUCCUGCGGGAGGUCCAAAACUUGCGUAAAGAUGAGUCUGCGAAGUUAUGGGUAUAGACCCGGAUUUGGUACCCGGUUAUUCCAUAAUGUCAAGUAUAGCUAUUUUAUUUGAAUUAAUAGUUUGCUAGGGGUACUACGAGUAACUGCUUAAAACUCGAAGAACUUGGCGGUUCCGCAUAACCAUCCAGAGGCUCUUGGCGCUUAAUCUGAUGAUCCGCGUGAUAUCUUACCUGCCCUAUAGAAAGCAGUGUACUGCCGUCGAAAGCUUAUGAUGUGAGUAAAUGAAAAUAGGCCCAAUCUUGGGAUUUUAAGUAAUUAAUAAUCAUACCGAGGCUAGGUCAGGUCGAAGUGCUCCUUAUGGGCAAGGGGUUAGCUGAGAGACAAAUAUUUAGACAUAUAAAGAUUUUAGAGAUGAAAUUCUCUUAGUGAAUAUAAGGAUUUGGGAGUAAAAAGAGAGUAAUUCGUUUUUUUGAAAAGACGCAACUGCGGUGCGUUCAAAUCGCCCGUCACCCUAGCCGAAAGGAGAGGUAAGUCGUAACAUGGUAAGGGUAGGGGAACUUGCUCUUUUAAU